Molecule: ribosomal RNA, 915 nt
Filed under: Scolecobasidium tshawytschae
Lineage: Eukaryota; Fungi; Ascomycota; Dothideomycetes; Venturiales; Sympoventuriaceae
Description: partial large subunit ribosomal RNA
Rfam family: Eukaryotic large subunit ribosomal RNA
Source: RNAcentral
UAGCAUAUCAAUAAGCGGAGGAAAAGAAGACCAACCGGGGAUUGCCCCAGUAACGGCGAGUGAAGCGGCAACAGCUCAAAUUUGAAAUCUGGGGUCCUUUGGGCCUCCGAGUUGUAGUUUGCAGAGGGAGCCUCGGAGGGCGUGCCGGCCCAAGUGCCUUGGAACAGGAUACCGCAGAGGGUGAGAGUCCCGUAUCCGGCCGGUGGCGCGCUCCGUGUGAGGCCUCUUCGACGAGUCGAGUUGUUUGGGAAUGCAGCUCCAAGCGGGUGGUAAAUUCCAUCUAAAGCUAAAUACUGGCCAGAGACCGAUAGCGAACAAGUAGAGUGAUCGAAAGAUGAAAAGCACUUUGAAAAGAGAGUCAAACAGUACGUGAAAUUGUUGAAAGGGAAGCGCAUGGGGGCAGACUUGGCCGCGGGGUUCAGGGUGCGUUCUCGCGCCUGCACUUCCCCGCGGACAGGCCAGCAUCGGUUCUGGGGGCCGGACAAAGGGGCCGGGAAGGUAGCCGCCUUCGGGCGGUGUUAUAGCCCGGCGCGCAAUGCGGCCACCUGGGACCGAGGACCGCGCUUCGGCAAGGAUGCUGGCGUAAUGGCCUCAUGCGGCCCGUCUUGAAACACGGACCAAGGAGUCUAACAUCUAUGCGAGUGUUUGGGUGGCAAGCCCGGGCGCGCAAUGAAAGUGAACGGAGGUGGGAGCUGUCGUAGGCGCACCAUCGACCGAUCCGGACGUUUUCCGAAGGAUUUGAGUAGGAGCAUAGCUGUUGGGACCCGAAAGAUGGUGAACUAUGCGUGAAUAGGGUGAAGCCAGAGGAAACUCUGGUGGAGGCUCGCAGCGGUUCUGACGUGCAAAUCGAUCGUCAAAUUUGCGUAUAGGGGGCGAAAGACUAAUCGAACCAUCUAGUAGCUGGUUCCUGCCGAA